This is a non-coding RNA of Rattus norvegicus (Norway rat), 13940 nucleotides long. The record is from RefSeq and is a predicted model, not a curated record. Lineage: Eukaryota; Metazoa; Chordata; Mammalia; Rodentia; Muridae.
GUCAUAUUUCCUGUGAGUUCAUCAUCUGCUGGCAUAUAACACUUGUGAAUUUCAUUCAAUUCAUUUAAAAUGAUUUCUAACAUGCAGCCAGAAAGUUAAGGGCGUCAAGGAAUGCAAAACGAUCCGCAGCCAUCCAAGAUUUCUCAGGAGACAGAUUCAGAAUCACAACGAAGGGAGGUUUUCCUUAAGGAGCGGUGUCUUAGAAAAAUUACCUCUGAUGAACCAGGACGUGUCCUAAGACGCUCGGAUCCUCUGCGUUCUGAUAUCAGUAGACUCCGAUGACCUUCUGAAGGUUGUUUUUGGUUUUUUUUUUCUUCUCCCUUCUAUUUUUCUUAUGAAUAGGUCAGACACAGGCCAGGAUCUAUGGCUCCCCUUCAGAACACACGUUUUCUUCCUGUUUAUUCCAUCGCUGUGUGAUUACAAAGAAGUCAGCUAGGGGAAAGUGUUGGGGGCAGAUGGUGACUCUUCACCCAGAAUUUGAACAAAGCCUGUCAGGGGCCGAUCACACCCAGGUAGUGAAUUUUAAAAGAGGAAAAAGCCAACAGCUAGCAAAUCGAAACAAGGUGAGAAGGGGCCUCAUCUCCUUUUCAAUAAUCCUUCAAUUGUCCCAGAGAAUUGAAGUUCUACAAAAAAAUAUUUUCUUUAUGCUGUCUCUGUCUAUUUGAGGGGACUCUUUUUUUUUUUUGGGUUCUUUUUUUCGGAGCUGGGGACCGAACCCAGGGCCUUGCGCUUCCUAGGUAAGCGCUCUACCACUGAGCUAAAUCCCCAGCCCCUCGAGGGGACUCUUAUAGAAGGCAGGUAGCCUUAAAAUCUUUCCUUUUGGAGCUAUUUUAUGGGUGUGGGUGUCUUCACCUUCAUGUAUGUCUGCGGCCUUUGUGCAUGCCCGGUGCUUACAAUAGGCAGAAGAGCGUGUUGGGUGUCCUGGAACUGGAGUCGUCAAUGGUUGUGAGUCAGACGCAAGGUGGGUGCUGGGGACACAACUCCAGCUACUGGAAGAAUGGCAAGUUCUCAGUGAGAAGCAUUGAGCCAUUUCUCUAGCUUCUGGAAAUCAGGGACCAUAAGGGGUGCUAUGGUUUGAAUGUGACAAGUCCCCCACUGGCUUAUGGCUUGAUAGCUGUGUCUCCAGAUAAAGGUGUUGCUCUGGAAGGGCAUGGAACCUUUACGUGCCAGACCCAGCUGGGGAAAAUGGGUCACUUGGGGCAUUACUUUGUUACAGCUGCUCCCACCUGCAUGUGGUCUGGUGAGGGUGGAUGGCACUUUCAAACCAUUCCACCCUAAGCUGUUUCUUGCUGAGCUCUUGUUCACAGAGAGGAGGAAGGAGAAAAAAAAAAACAACCAAAAACAAACCAAAAUUCCAAAAGACCAAAAGCAAAAACAAAAAAACCCCCAAACCAACCAACCAACCAACCAAUCAACAAACAAAAAGCAUAACAAAAGCCAACAGCACCAACAAAGAAACCAACCAACACCCAAGGUGAUAGGUAGACUUGAUUCACAUUUCCCGUGAGUCCAUCAUUUGGUGGCUUAAAGCCCGUGUCCAUUGUGCGCAAACCCUUUAGAUUAGUUACUGGACUUUAGGUAAACCAGAAGACAGAGUUAAAGACCUACAGCUCCAGAAGCAGCACACCGUAGUGAAGACACACUCCCCCAUCAAGACCAUGAACAUUCUCCAAGCGAUGGGCGCGCAGACGCUUUGACGUUAGGCACGCAAAUCCCCAUUUCCCACAUGCUGCUUUCUGCUGCUUCUUUGGAGAGAUGAGAAAGCUCGAAGCCCGUGUUCCCUUGAUUCCCUUGCAGCCUGAGUUCAGGGUUGGAAUCAAGUCCUCUUUAUCGUCCACUCUUAGGGGACAUUUAGAUGCGUGUGUGUGUGUGUGUGUGUGUGUGUGUGUGUGUGUGUGCGCGCGCGCGUGCCAGAGAUGCUUCUUUGUGACUGAUGGAUGGUGACCUGGUGCUUGUGAGGUGACACUGUGUUCCAGAGUCUUGUCGAAUCUCAUGGCAAGGAGCAGUGUUGGCAGCAGCAGAAGCUGUCGAUGAAAUGGCAGAGGUACGGUUGUCAAACUCACAGUCCCUCUUUAUCUUCCCAACAUCGUGAUAGGCAGAUCCUCAGCCCUUUGGAUGAGGCUUCUGAUUCCCGACCGUUCUUUCAUUCAUACCCUAUCACCUACGUUUCUGGGGUCAGCAGAAUGGCCAACUUUCAACUCUUCUCAGUAUUUCUCCAUUAGUUGGGAACGUCUUGUUUCCAGGGAAACACUUGAGGACUUAAAAGUCAAGGACGAUGGCUCUCCGGAAGAGCCAGCCAUCGGAGAUGAGGAAUUCUACCUAUUCCAAAUCUUGCCUGUGGAUCCAGCAUGCGCCCUUCCUCCCCCAGCAGGAAAACACACGUUACUGAAGGGAAGAAAAUCACUGCUCUAGAGCCACAAGGCAAAGCCAUGUGCUAACUGGCUGGAGAGAUCCACCGGCAGCUCCCAGAAUGCUUGGAUUCUCCCCAGCUGGAUCCCUUGAGGAGUUUGCUACCUUUUAACCCAACGCCACUGGAUCUGGCCCUGUCUUUCGAUUUACUCGUUUCUCCUAUGGCAAGAUAUUAAGCAACAAUCUCAGAUAAAGACCCACUCGUUUGAACAAAGGGAAAGUGCCUCACUUAGACCCAUUGUAACCAAUUCCCAUUAUAACCAAUUCUCUCUGAACAUGUGGACCCAACAAACGGGAGAUCGCUGCAUAGCUCGAACAAUGAAGUUGUUAGUUAACGGAAUUAACAGUGUGUUGUCUCACUGCGAUGACAGCGGUAAAACAGGAGACGUGCAGCCGAUACAGUCACAACUGAAUCGUAAUGGAUGAGAUAUUUACAGCAAAGCUGUUCAAACAUUGAAUAAAAUAUGGGAAGUGCUAAAGCAGAUGUGUUUUUAUUCUUCUGAGCUGAAGCUUGUAAGGUAGAAAAGAGAGUUUGAGUAAUAAUCGCAGGUUCUGAUUCACACGCAUUAAUAAAUAUUCAUACGGCAGCAGUCGCUGAAACUUUCCAAACGCAGAAAUAAAGUGAGAAAGCCUGUGUUUGCCUCACACGGGGCUAAGUUUAGCUUCCCAGGCAGACGUGUCAAUAUCUCCAUUAGGGCCUCACGAAAGCUGCAUUUGACUUCCUACCGCCUUCUGGGUCUUGCUGGUGGAUCUGUCCUGUUUCCUUUUCCUUUCUCUCCUUUCCCAUCUUCCUUUUGUUCCUCUAGAGUCUCAGUACUUUUCCCGAUUCCAGUCACCAGGAAGUAGAAAGAGAUGAUGACCUGGUCUUACAGAGGGGAGCUGUAACUUGGGGGGGGGGGGGUAGAGAUGGGAGGGAAUGUGUGUUCUCUUGAGUUAGGUAAAGGAGCUCGACCUCUCAGUAGGAAGCACAAUCUCUGUGCACCUGAGCAGUGGGAUGCCUGAUUUCUGCAGAGGCACGCAAAAAAUUCAUGUGCUCUGGGCUCUUUGUUUUUUUAAUGAGCAGGGUAUCUCUCUCUCUCUCUCUCUCUCUCUCUCUCUCUCUCUCUCUCUCUCUCUCUCUCUCUCUCUCACUGCAUAAGGGAAGGCUUUCCUUUGCCCUGAUCUGGAAUAAUUUGGAGAAGUUUAAUCUGGGAUAUGUGACUCUGCGUCCAGCUUGUAUUUCUCUGCCUUUCGGGAAACAGGGGAAGCUUUGUGUAAAACUGGCUUGAAUCUGAAGAGAGGGAGGGAGGAAUAAAGGAAGGGAGAUAAGUGCGUGUUGCAGGGGCUUGAAUUCCUCUGGCGAGGGGGGCACAGCCAUCCCGGCAUGGACUCGUGUUUGGGUGUGGAGAGCCUUUGAUGGAUGACCAUGCUUGCUGCAUCCUGUAGCAUAACAGAGCGCUGUGGGGUUGCUAUGACGCCCUUUGUUCCUUUCUCUGCUUUUAUUGGCGUGUGUAUGUACCUUGGCUUGUAUGUGGAACCACGGGGCUUUGUGUCGUGUUUUCAUUUUCUCUUCUGCUUUAUUAAUGCCCGCAUCCUUUUGUCUCCUCCACAACCCCGCACCUCGUCCCCGCGCUCGCGUCAGGCCUUUCAUUUGGAUCCUAUUCUUUGCGUUCCCUCCGUUGGUUCCAAAUGAAGCCUCACUGCUUCCUCCCGUCCCCACCUCUGGCUUUGACCUCAUUAUCUUUUCCUUUCAGUGAAUUCCAUCCCCCACAGACUUAACAGUAAGUGUUUCCUUUCCUUGUGCUGCUGUGUCUUCUCUGAAAAUAUGAAUAUGAUGUUUUGGCACUUAUCUGGGACUUAAGAGUUUUAGCAUUCGGGAUAUCAAGCACAGUAGCUUCUGAUGGGCAGGCCUGGGGACCAAUCAGAGAGGGGCAGCCCAAAACCAGGGGCUCCAUGGGAGCGUCUAAUGACCUGAGGCCUCUUGGCCAAAUGGCAGCAAAUCCUAGGAGAUCUUGUCCUGGGGUAAGCAGGGUUCCCUGCGGGGGGCAAAUGCCCAAACAACCUGUACUGGGAUUGGGCGCCCAGACACAGUAGCGGCAGAUCAAAAAGAGUUAUAACGAAGGUGUAUUUAAAGUGUUUAAAUGUAUGCUGUUCAUGACUGUAAUAAACCCAGUACUCUUGAGGCUGAGGCAGGAGGGUAGCCUGGGCUACAUAGUGAAUCCCAGAGUGAGAGCAUGACUCAAAAAAAUCCCAAAUCAAACCAACCAAAGGGAGGAAAAACCUGUUCACACUGAAACGAACGCUUCUUGCACAAAUCCAAAGGAAACACACACAUUUAUCAACCGUAUUUUAUUUAUAUUCACAACUGAUAGUUAAUCUUGGGAAACAGGAUGUGGAGAAAACUCAGAUCCCAGAGAGCACACGGCGUGUGGAAGCUGGCUGCGCUGGCUUUGCUGGCAAGAGCCCAAGGAGUUGUUUGGUUGGUUCACAGACUGGAUGAAGCUUUCAUUGCUCUUUGAACAACUAACAAGAUUUUGUUUUUCUUAAAGGAAGGUGAGGGUAAUACUAUGAGUUUUAGAAGGCACACCACACACAUACACACACACACACACGUGUACACACACACAUACAUGUACAUACCUGCGUGUGCAUACACAUACACAUGCACGCACACACACAUACACACACAUACACAUAUACAUACACAUACAUAAAUACACACAUAUAUAUACACACAUACAUACAUAUACACACAUGUACACAGAAACGCAUACACAUACAUACCUGCGUGUGCAUACACAUACACAUGCACGCACACACACAUACACAUAUACAUACACAUACAUACAUAUAUACACACAUAUAUACACACACAUACAUACAUAUACACACAUGUGCACACAAACGGAUACACAUACAUACCUGCGUGUGCAUACACAUACACAUGCACACACACAUAUACAUAUAUACAUACACAUACAUACAUACACACAGACAUACAUACACACAUACACACAUACACACACAUACAUAUAUACAUGCACACAUAUGUACAUACACAUAUACAUACACACAUACAUACACAUACAUACACACAUACAUACAUACACACAUACAUACAUACACACAUACAUACAUACACACAUACAUACAUACACAUACAUACAUACACACAUACAUACACAUACAUACACACAUACAUACAUACACACAUACAUACACACAUACAUACACACAUACAUACACACAUACAUAUAUACAUACACACAUACAUACAUACAUACGUACAUACACACACACAAAUGGGAACACAUACACACUCACAAACUCUGCAGAGGAGUUAUUACUAUGAAAUCAGUCUAUUGGACAGAAUAUCUGGAGAAUCUGUCUCUCCUCUCCCCCUCUGAUUUCUCCCCCGUUCUUUGGACGGCCAAAAUGCUAGCUUGACAGCGCCGAGCAACACAGCUCAGGUGAGAACGAGUACUUGCCAACGGCUGUGUUUCUGCCUCUGUGAAGACUAGGCUGGCUCCAGACAUGCUCUAGUGCGGGAUGAAGCAGCCCCACGUGCCAGCGACAAACUUCCUCCGAAAAUACAAGAUCUGCAAAACUCGAGCCAGGUAGGGCGACUUGCAGAUGAGUGAAAAUAAAAAAAAAAAAAAAUUACAGCAUGGCUUUCCUAGCGCUCGCACUUAACUGCUUGUUGACUUUUUCUUUCUUUUUAUUCAUGGGACAACAGAGAUUUGUGCAGAGGGGUGACCGGUACCCAAGGCAAUUAGCACUUAAAUAGAGGCCAUUCAUAUAAUUAAAGCAUUUGUGAGAAACGUUGAAUACAUAAAUGACUCUCCCUUUAGGGCAGACUGGGUUGUAGUUUUAUUCCAGCUUAAGUCUUCCUUGUGUCGUACUCCGGCGACCCCGGCGACCCCAGCGACCCCAUGCGAGGAGGACCUUUCCUUGUGAAGGAGAAUUAGUUUGGGAAUAUGAAGCAUCUGUCCGAGUGGAUGACUUAGGAUGGCAUAGGAGGUCCAAAUUCCGUCUGUGUAGCAGCUUCUAAUCCUCCGUCCCGAAACUGGUCCAUUUCCCCUCAACUACUUUGAAAACUAAUCUCUCUAAUCUCUCUCUCUCUCUCUCUCUCUCUCUCUCUCCCUCUCUCUCUCUUCUCUCUCUCUCUCUCUCUCUCUCUCUCUCUCUCUCUCUCUCUCACACACACACACACACACACACACAUGGGCAUAGGCCACAGGACAGCUUCAGGAAUGUCUGCUUUGGAGACAAGGCCUCUUGCUGGCCUGGAGCUCAGUGGGUAGGCUGGGCCAGUGACCUCCAGGGAUCUGUCUGUCUCUGCCUCCCCAGUGCUGGGAUCGAAAGCACGCAGCACCGCACUCAGCAUCUCUUUUUAAUCGAGAACGUUGGGGGUUUUAUUCAGGUUAUUAUGCUUGUGAGUCAAACAUUUUUUUUCCCCUCUGAGAUAUCUCCCUGACCCCGAGAAUUCAUUUCUUAUCACCGAUGAACAGAUUCUGAGCUCUGGGACAAACCCAUCACUAAACACAUUUCCUAACAGCUAGAUCAAAGACUAAACCGAGCCCCUGAGUCAUCUCCAAAGCAACAUGGGGACAUUUUCAGGGCAGGUGCGGCAGGGGGUGUGUGGGGUGUGUGCUCCCGGGCAGGCCGAGGUCGUGCAGAUGUUCUCACUCAAUUGGAUUUUCCUCACCACGCUUGCCUGUGCAGCUUUGGUAUGCGAAUGUUCACCACUGAAAACUGGGCCCGUGGCUCUCACAACGAACCCAGCAACCUGACCAAUCAGCUCCGAGUCUGCAUGUUGCCAGGGAAACCAAACCAUAGUCACAAAAGCAGAAUGAUCACAGUGGGGAAAAUAUAAAAUGUGGCCUUUUCAUAGUCAGAGGGAGAAAGGGAUAGCACAGGCUGACCGGACGUAGCAGAGAAUGACACUGGAUUCAGGGCAGCAUGUGACAUGGGUACACAUCUGUGGUGAUGGACGAGAAAACGAAUGGGCAUGUGUGUGUGUGUGUGAGAAAAGAACUAACAUUCAUUAUGUAACCAUAAAAUGGUCAAACAAUAAGAGAAAGAUAAUUAAAAAAAUGUGUACCUCAGCCGGGAGUGAACUCAGGAUUGCAGGGAGAUGGCAGAUGAUUGUGGUAGAAAGAUGGGCAUCCUCAGGAAUAUGUUUUUCCAGAAGCCCUGGCUCUGUAGAAUGCCACCGUGCCCUCUUAGCCGGUCAAUGUCCCCACCUUUCCAAGCAUGUUGAUGCAACUGCUCCCAGAUAUCAAACCAUCCCUUGCUCUUGGACAGUACUCACCAUCUGUGGGCUCGCAGGCCCUCCCACUUCGUUCUGGGCCUCAUAUCAGAAGCGGGAGCCACAACAGACUGCUCCCCUGCUGAGAGUUCCCAUCCGGACUUCCCAUUGCAGGGGCCUUUGGAUUAGGGAGCACCGCAAAGGAGUGGAACUUCUCCUUAGAGCGAGGGACAGAGCUCCGUUUCCAAAUACCGCACUUGUGUUCACAGUCGAGUUCGCCGACCCUCGUAGGCAGGACCCCCACUGACCUUUGUGGGAGUCGAAAUUCAACCAUCCUUUCCCACAAGAGCUGCUGUAGAUGUGGUUCCUGGGUCUUGAUCUCUGGGCAUGGCACACGUUGGGAGCGGGAGAUGGCUCCGUAGGUAAAGUGCCGGGUGCUCAAUGGUAAGGACCGAAGUUUGAUUCCUCGAACCAACAUAAAAAUCCAGACUCGGUUACGUAAGCGGUUCCUGUGGAGAGAUAGAAGGUGGGGAGAAUACUUGGACGCUCGUGUCCCACAGCCUCCCUACCUCGUGCAAACAAGAUACAAAGGUGAAGACUGCCGUCGACUCCUGAUCUUCCCUGAGCACUGCACACACACCAGGGCACAGAGACGGCUGCAUUCACACGUGUGUCUACACACACAAGCAAAUGAUGGAAAUUUAACACGGUUGAAUUUCUGAUAUUUAGUAUAGGAGUCACUUUAGGGUUUGCUGGUUAACAGUGCUGGCUUCCCUUGCGGGGGAUCCAGGUUUCGUUUUUGGCACCCACAUAGCUGCUCAUAACCCCCUGGAACUCCCAUUCCAGGGUACCACGUGCCCUCUUCUGGCCUCCACCGGCACCUGGACACUUGCUACAUAGACAGACAAGCAACCAUACACACACCGACACAUAAAUAAAAACAAAAGUCAAAGAAACAAAGAAUUUGUUUAAAUAGAUUUCAUUUCUUUUUCUGCUCAUUUUCCACUUUGGGAGGCACGGCUGUAGAAAAAGACCAGAGAACAUGCCCUUGUCCCCGACCAGGUAAGGAUGACAGUGCUUCUGGAUAGAAUGGUUCCCCCCACAACCCUGCCCCCAGGUCUGCAGCUCAGCUGUGUUCUUCGGGAAGGAGCCCAGCACACAAGGCUGACUAGAAGAGAACAUCAGUGCUCACAGAUCUGAGAGGACGGGCGCUGCUCUUUCCAACCAUUUGUGUGCUUGGCGUGGAGCCUCCGUUCUUCAGACAACCUUACCCAUCUCCCCCUCUCUGCUAGAAUGGCUUUGGUCUCUUCUCUCACAGCCUCUGGGCUCUGAGGAAUCUAUAACACGUGACAAGCCAUCUUGUCAAUGCAGCUGGCUCUGGAGAUGAUCUUGUUGCCUGAAGCCACUGGCAUUUGUUCUUGAGCAGAUGCACCGGGCCCUGGUGUCAUUGCUCCCCGAAUCCAUGGUAAACUGUGCAAGCCACAGGGAGUCUCUCAACUGUGCUGUGAGCCCAUCCUAGACUUACCGCAAUGCUGGAUAAAUAAGACACAGAUGGACAGCCGUCGGAUAUGUGUGGUAAGGCUGAUGGUCAUUCUAAGAGCACCAAGUGCUUAGGAACUCGGGGCUUGUUCCUUCCCAGGUACUGUACUUGGUAGUCAUGUGAAUUUCAUGGUCACUCGUUCUCACAACCUGUGAUCAGCACUGUGUGUCUGAGGUUAGAGCACGAAAGAGCUCCUCGGUGCAGAGAAAUCAAACAAAUUGAAUAACAGGUGUCACUGUCAGGGAAAAUGCCCCCCUCCCCCCAGACUAACUCUGGUUAAUCAGUGAUGUCUAUGGAUUUUGUGAUCUAUCGGAUGGUCACGUGGGCCAGUUUUAUUGGCUUGUGACCAUCCUACCCCAGUGCUUCAUAUGAAGCAGGAUUUUAUAAAGUGACCUUGGUGACCCUCGACAUCAUUUAAUCCCUCCCACUUGGUUGUGGUAGGAACAUCCUACCAUCAUGAGUUACGAGUGAAGGGCCUUGCCAUUGUGAAUAUGACAAUUUAUUAGUUGACCAAUAGCUGGAAGGACUACUAGAAGUGGUUGAGCCACACCUGAUCAGGUGGCCUCUUAAGAGAAACAGGGCCAUUACUGAAGAAAGUCCCAAAGAAUGCAAGGGACAAUCUCCUGUGGCUCUAGAGCUGACAGGGCCACAUGGCAAGGGAUGUGGGCAGUGACAUGAGCUGUGAGAGGCUACAGACAGACAGAGACCAGAAAGAAAAAGGGGCCUCAGUCCUUCAACCCCAGGGGGUAACUUCCUUCAACAGUCUGAAGGAGCUUGGGGACAUAUCUAUCCUUGGAUGUAAACCCUGUCCAUGUAAACCUUGUUUUCAUCUCCAUAAGAUCCCAAGGAAAGGACCUCCGGGAAAGAGGUCCUGCCUGGACCCAUGACCUGUGAGCUCACAGUCAGUGAAUGGGCACUGUACCAGGAAGCUGAACCAUGGCCAUGUGAAAAGCAAAAGCUAGAAAACUGACAUAUUCUCAGAUGUGCCCACACAAUCCUAUCGACUCACGAUGAAAAGGCUUCUAUAUUUUAAAAACAUUAUCUCCUGGGUCUGGAAGAUGGAUCAGUCAGUAAACUCUGCCUUAUAAACAUGGGGAACCGAGUUCAAGUCCCUGAACCAAACCACGUAAAAAGGCAAAAGAUAGUGGCGUGUGUUUAUCAUCCCCGCGAGGGGGGAGGAGGCAGGAGGAUCUCUGGGAUCUAACAGUCACCUGGUCUAGCUGUUUGGUGAGUAUAGCGCCAGCGAGUCGGUCUGAAGAAGAAUGCGGUGGGAACCUGAAAAAUAACAGCAACCCCUGUCGUCUCGGAGGAAGUUCUCCACUGGGUGAGUCCUUGACGCUGGGCCUCCUCCCCACCACUCUGGCUUUACCACGUUCCCAGACUUAUGCGAUUCUUUUUUCCCUCACAAGGUCGCCGUAGGCAAUGGAGCCAAGUGACCGUAGAUGGAGCUCUCUGAAACCGUAAGCCAAAAUAAGUCUUCCCUCCUUGAAGUACAGUUUGUCUCAGACUGAAAAUUCUAAUCAGCACAGUGGCCUUUUGCACACAGCUCUUCUCACUUCUGAUGCUCAUUACCGCUCCCUACCCGCUCCGCUCCCUUCUGGCCAGAGGAUGUUAACAGCCCCUUUGAAUAAUAUAGUGCUUUUGUCAAACCUCCCCAGGGUGAUGCUGGCUAUACUGUGCUUCUCUGUGGUCUUUUGUGGGAUCCCCUGAGAAUUAUGAACGGGGGGGUGGGGGGAGCUAGCUUCUGGCUGCAGCGGGCUCUUCUUCGGCAAAGCGCUCGCAUUUGGUCCUCUCUCUAAGCUUCCCAGAGUCGCUUUUGUUUGGUUACUGGGUCUAGUGAAACAGUUCUCAACUUGAUUGGUCGCGACCCCUUUGGGAUUGAAAGACCUCAUCCCAGGGGUGGUCCAACACCAUUGAAAACACAGAUGUUUACAUUGUACUUCAUAACAGCGGCAAAAUUGCAGUUAUGAAGAGCCAACGGAAAUAAUAGUUGAGGGAUAAAUGUAUUGAAGGGUCGCAACGUUAGGAAGGCUGAGAACCACUGGUCUAGCAGACGGAAGUGAUGGGGAAGGGGCUCUUUAUCAGGAGAGGCGUGCUAGCAGGGUUUUCCAUCAGGGUAUCCCGCUCAGAAGCGUUUUCUUUUGAAGCAAGCGCAGGUCCAAAUUCCUGAAACAGGCUCAGACGUGACGACAGAGCAUAUUUUAAAGAUUUGUUCAUGUUUCUUGUGCAACUAAAUUUCCCCCUGAAUUCCAUUUUCCUGUAGAUUAUUCUUUUUUUGAGACCUUCUGGAAAGGGAAGGCACGCUCUGUUCUGAUAGGGAGUGAUUCUAUUUUGCAUACUGACAUGCAUUUUAACAAGGAAAAGGUCAUGGACUGGGAUGGUUCGGCUUGUUGGCGUGACAGCCGACAUUUACCUGAGCCUUCUCAAUACACUGCGGUUUAAAAUAAUUUAGUGAAAUAAUUGUCAUGAUUGAUUUUAUAUUUCCUUUUUGGACCCAGAGUUCACCUUUGUUCCUCUCGGGGUGGGUAACUUCCCGGAGCAGAAAUUUUCCUUUGAUGGGAAUCCACUUCUGAAGUUCUGGAUGGAUGGCAAACUUUGAUUAAAAUCACGAACUCUUUUAUGAUCUCUUAGCAAAAGCUGGUGAACUCAAUUGCUGCUGACAUAUUCCUUGACCAACAUCUGUUCUUCGGGUGACACUAGUACGGGAGAAAAUAAGCAGCUGAGAUGGUUUCAGCAUAAUAUUCUUCCUUGUAAAUUCCACAUCUUGGGGCUUUCGGAAGGACCCAGAGACGAUGGCAGACAUGUAAACACAUUGCCAUCACAAUAGUGCCCGUGUGGUUUGGCUGGCCAGACUUUUGACAAAGGAGAGGAAAAAAACAAAACAAAACAGUGGUUAGUUUUAAUCAUUGACUUGACACAACCUAGAAUCAUCUGGGAAGAGAGUGUCAAUGAGGGAUUGUCUGCCCUAGAUUGGCCUGUGGGCUUGUCUGUAGGACAUUGUCUUCAUUAAGUGAUGUAGGAAGACCCAGCCCACUGUGGGCAGCACCAUUCCCUAGGCAAAGCAUCCUGAACUGUGUAAGUGUAGAGACAUUGAGCACAAACAUCAGCAUCCAUGUUAAUUUCUCUCAGCUCUUGACUGUGGAUGUGAUGAACUGUUUGAAGCUCCUUCCUUCAUUCCCUGAAAUGAUAUAAGACUAUAACUUGGAGUUGUAAGCCUUAAUAAAACCCUCCCUUCCCUAAAGUUGUUUCUGUGGUGGUGGUGGUGGUGGUGGUGGUAGUUUGUUUGUUUUCUGUUUUUGUCAGUGAAUUUUUAUCAUAGAAACAUAAAUGAAACUAGAAUAACCCAGGUGUGUUUCGAAGAGUUGGUAUAAUGAAAGAAAGGAAUGGAUUUGAUGACACCUUGAGUUCCUGAUUCCACCUGAGAGAACACAUUACAAUGAAUACAGCAAUGGUCACUUAAGGAUAGACCUGGCCAAAUUCUAACUCUGGUAUGCUCCUUAACAUGCAAAGCAAUACUGUAAGUACGAAGAACUUGAGGGGAAGAGAUUAUCUGGGUGGGCCAAUGCAAUCAGAAGGAGGGGGGAGGGGGAGAGGUGGGUCAAGGACACAAGGAAGCAUGGAAUGAAAGGAGAGGCGAUGUGGCUUGAGAGUUGGGUGACAGGCUAGGAGUCCAGGAAUACAUUCACCUCUGCAGAAACUAAUGAACAAAUGAAUGAAUGAAUGAAUGAAUGAUGAAUGGAUGAAUAGAAAAGACACUAAUAUUUUCUAGAGCUUCCAAGAGAAACACAAUCUUUACAGAUUUAUUAACUUUUUUUUUUUUUUUUGGUUCUUUUUUUCAGAGCUGGGGACCGAACCCAGGGCCUUGCGCUUCCUAGGCAAGCGCUCUACCACUGAGCUAAAUCCCCAACCCCGAUUUAUUCACUUUUAUUUGUAUGUGUAUGUUUAUGUGCACGUGGGUGGGGUGCCUACAGAAGCCAGAAAGGGUCAUCAGUUUCCCUGGAGCUAGAAUCCCAGGAGGUUACAACCCUUGCUACCUGGGUGCUGGGAACUGAAUUCAGGUCCUCUGAAAAGAGAGGUAAAUGCUCUGAGCAACUGAGCUGUGGCUCCAGCCCCGAGAAAGGUGUUAUUGACAGCUUUGUGUGUGCUUGAGGUCUGUCAGUGUGCAUGUGAGUGCACAUUUGCCUGGGAGCAGGUGAGCAUGCAGGUGUAUGGAGAAUCCAAAGCACAAACACAGGUGUCUUCACUCUCUCUCUCCAUCUUGUUUUCCGAGAUGGGGGUCUCUUGUUGACCAGGAGCUUGCCCAGUAGGCUAGGCUGACUGGUAAGAUGGCUCCAGGGGCCCUCCUGUCUCUGCGUUUGCAGGCAUAGGCCACCGUGUGUGGCUUUCUUCGUGUAGCGUCUGGGGCUCGAACUCUGGUCCUUACUCUUGCAUGACAACCUCUACAGAUGAACUGCUUAUCCACCACUGGCUAACAACUUUCCCUGGGCACUGUAAGACUUAAUCUGGAUCAUGACCUCUGGGACAGUGGAGUGACUGAGCUGUGUUGCUUUAAAUCACCAAGAACGUGGUCAUCGCUUACAGCAGUGAGAAGCAGCUAAUGACAAACUGAUCCAAAGGAGGUGGUACCAAGCUGGAUAGUGGAGCAGAAAGACGGCAGCAUGCCUCCCCGCUCCUAGUCUGGCCUCUGUCAUCUUGUCAUCGAGUUUGUCACUUCUUAGCUUAGCCCGCACUGGAGAGAAAUAAAUUUAAUUUUUAUAUAAA